UCCAGACUCCUACGGGAGGCAGCAGUGGGGAAUAUUGCACAAUGGGCGCAAGCCUGAUGCAGCCAUGCCGCGUGUAUGAAGAAGGCAUUCGGGUUGUAAAGUACUUUCAGCGGGGAGGAAGGCGAUAAGGUUAAUAACCUUGUUGAUUGACGUUACCCGCAGAAGAAGCACCGGCUAACUCCGUGCCAGCAGCCGCGGUAAUACGGAGGGUGCAAGCGCUAAUCGGAAUUACUGGGCGUAAAGCGCACGCAGGCGGUCUGUCAAGUCGGAUGUGAAAUCCCCGGGCUCAACCUGGGAACUGCAUUCGAAACUGGCGGGCUGGAGUGUUGGAGAGGGGGGUAGAAUUCCAGGUGUAGCGGUGAAAUGCGUAGAGAUCUGGAGGAAUACCGGUGGCGAAGGCGGCCCCCUGGACAAAGACUGACGCUCAGGUGCGAAAGCGUGGGGAGCAAACAGGAUUAGAUACCCGUGUAGCA
RNAcentral lists this ribosomal RNA (473 nucleotides) under uncultured bacterium. RNAcentral's name for it is "bacterial SSU rRNA". It matches the Rfam family "Bacterial small subunit ribosomal RNA", at positions 330 to 795 of the family's 1533-position model. The record is from RNAcentral.